GAUGGACCCUCCUUCUCUCAGAGUAUAAAGAGGGGCAGGGAGAGAUUUGGGGAAGCUCUGCCUCAGCUGUGAGCACAGAAGGCAGGACUCGGGACAAUCUUCAUCAUGACCCGGUCCUCUCUCCUCCUCACCCUUCUCAUUCACUGCACAGGCUCCUGGGCCCAGUCGGUGCUGACACAGCCGCCCUCAGUGUCCGCGGACCCAGGACAGAAGGUCACCAUCUCCUGCUCUGGAAGCAGCUCCAACAUUGGGAGAAAAUAUGUAUCCUGGUACCAGCAGGUCCCAGGAACAGCCCCCAAACUCCUCAUCUAUGAAAAUAAUAAGCGACCCUCAGGGAUUUCUGAACGAUUCUCUGGCUCCAAGUCUGGCACUUCAGCCACCCUGAGCAUCACUGGACUCCAGACUGGAGAUGAGGCUGAUUAUUACUGCGAAACAUGGGAUAACAGUCUGAAUGGUCCCACAGUGCUCCAGAGCCCAGGCGGGGAACUGAGACAAAGAACCCCCCUUCCUCCUCUGCCAGGAGGGACAGAGUUAGAGGGAACCAACCCCAACCCUUGCAAACUGCUCGUCACCUCUCCGUGCCCCAGUGAGGAGAAGAAA
Molecule: non-coding RNA, 600 nt
Organism: Chlorocebus sabaeus (green monkey)
Lineage: Eukaryota; Metazoa; Chordata; Mammalia; Primates; Cercopithecidae
Source: the annotation of a RefSeq genome assembly